UGUUAAUUUUUUUAUAAAGAAUUAAUGUUUAAAUUAUUAAAAACUAACCUUUAAUUAAAAUUUCUAAAAUUAAUUACUAUUUAAAUCUUUAAUUUAAAAUUAUAUUUAUAUUAAUUUAUAAAGAAAUUAUGUUAAAAUUAGUAUAAUGUUUUUGUUUAUAAAAGGAAUUCGGCCUUCAACUGUUUAUCAAAAACAUAGUCUUAUGAUAAUAUAAGGUGAAACCUGCCCGCUGAUUUUAAAUGGCCGCAGUACUUUGACUGUGCUAAGGUAGCAUAAUAAAUUGACUCUUAAUUGGGGCCUUGAAUGAAAGGAUAAAUGAAUAAUUUCUGUCUUUAAUAAAUAAAUUAAAAAUUACUUAAAAGGUGAAAAUUCCUUUAAUUUAAUAAAAUAGACGAGAAGACCCUAGGAGUUUUUUUGUUGGGGCGACAAUAUAGCAUAACCUAUAUAUUUAUGUAAACGAAAUGUUUUAAUUAUAAUGUAACUACCCUAGGGAUAACAGCAUAAUUUAAAUUUAAGUUUAUGACCUCGAUGUUGGACUAGGAACUUUUAAAGCUAACAGCGUUAA
This 565-nucleotide ribosomal RNA is filed under the name Mysticarion hyalinus. RNAcentral's name for it is "partial large subunit ribosomal RNA". The stretch from base 176 to 320 matches the Rfam family "Bacterial large subunit ribosomal RNA", at positions 1796 to 2008 of the family's 2925-position model. Lineage: Eukaryota; Metazoa; Mollusca; Gastropoda; Stylommatophora; Helicarionidae. The record is from RNAcentral.